Dipodomys ordii (Ord's kangaroo rat) is the source of this 87-nucleotide unclassified non-coding RNA. NCBI's taxonomy places the organism in Eukaryota, Metazoa, Chordata, Mammalia, Rodentia, Heteromyidae. The record is from Ensembl.
CGGUGCUGUGCUCUGACUUACUAACUAACCCAGCCCUACUAACCUGGUUUUCUCUUUGUACUAACCCAGCCCUGCCGAGCUCUGGGC